RNAcentral lists this unclassified non-coding RNA (286 nucleotides) under Hevea brasiliensis (rubber tree). Lineage: Eukaryota; Viridiplantae; Streptophyta; Magnoliopsida; Malpighiales; Euphorbiaceae. The record is from RNAcentral.
UAGAUUAUGCGACCCUCCCUAAUCCCUUCAUCUAUGCUAAUCGGCCAUUUGCAUAAUCUAAAAGCUUUAUAACAGGUUGUGAUAAAUAUCAAUAAACGGAGAGUUAAAUGACUCUUAUCUUGUCUUCUCUGCUUCCUCCCUGGCUUGGCUCCUUCUUAGCCGGCCAUUAACCCAUUUGACAGAGCAAGGAUCUCUCCAUUCUUUGCUAUUUUAUUGCCGAUUCAGUUCAAUUCUAAUGGAAUUUUACGUGAUAAUUUCCUCCGCUGUUGCUGCAAAUCUGUGGUAA